CUACCAUGCAGUCGAGCGCACUCUUCGGAGUGAGCGGCGGACGGGUUAGUAACGCGUGGGAACGUGCCCUUCUCUAAGGAAUAGCCACUGGAAACGGUGAGUAAUACCUUAUACGCCCUUCGGGGGAAAGAUUUAUCGGAGAAGGAUCGGCCCGCGUUAGAUUAGAUAGUUGGUGGGGUAAUGGCCUACCAAGUCUACGAUCUAUAGCUGGUUUUAGAGGAUGAUCAGCAACACUGGGACUGAGACACGGCCCAGACUCCUACGGGAGGCAGCAGUGGGGAAUCUUGGACAAUGGGCGCAAGCCUGAUCCAGCCAUGCCGCGUGAGUGAUGAAGGCCUUAGGGUCGUAAAGCUCUUUCGCCAGAGAUGAUAAUGACAGUAUCUGGUAAAGAAACCCCGGCUAACUCCGUGCCAGCAGCCGCGGUAAUACGGAGGGGGUUAGCGUUGUUCGGAAUUACUGGGCGUAAAGCGCACGUAGGCGGAUCAGAAAGUAUAGGGUGAAAUCCCAGGGCUCAACCCUGGAACUGCCUUGUAAACUCCUGGUCUUGAGUUCGAGAGAGGUGAGUGGAAUUCCGAGUGUAGAGGUGAAAUUCGUAGAUAUUCGGAGGAACACCAGUGGCGAAGGCGGCUCACUGGCUCGAUACUGACGCUGAGGUGCGAAAGUGUGGGGAGCAAACAGGAUUAGAUACCCUGGUAGUCCACACCG
This 705-nucleotide ribosomal RNA is filed under the name Phaeobacter sp. RNAcentral's name for it is "bacterial SSU rRNA". It matches the Rfam family "Bacterial small subunit ribosomal RNA", at positions 49 to 802 of the family's 1533-position model. The record is from RNAcentral. Lineage: Bacteria; Pseudomonadati; Pseudomonadota; Alphaproteobacteria; Rhodobacterales; Roseobacteraceae.